AGUCCAGAAUCACAGACUGCAAAUCUGAUUUCGGGUAGGAUUACCCCUGGGCUU
This 54-nucleotide transfer RNA is filed under the name Varanus rudicollis (roughneck monitor). RNAcentral's name for it is "tRNA-Cys". The record is from RNAcentral. Lineage: Eukaryota; Metazoa; Chordata; Lepidosauria; Squamata; Varanidae.